UUUCCUGAGAUAAAGCAGUAAGAUUGCCUUGUGUAACAAGAAUCAGCACGAGACUAAGACUGCUCUUUGAGAAUGAUCAUUAUCAGCUCAUUUGGGUAGAAGAUGAUGAUGAUGCCAGUUCACUAAUGGGAUCUCUGUGUGGGACCAUGAACACUGUUUAAAAGAAUAGGUAUAGAUUUGUGAUCAAGAACAAUACUGGCAAGGGAUUGAAGAUCAAGCUCAACAGCUAGCCCAGCUGAGCCUUCAGUUGGCUGAAAUCACAGCCAGCAUCUCAUUGCCUAACUGACCUAAGCAGGAAGUACCCAGCUGAGCUGAGUCAAUCCACAGUGUCAUGAGAGGUAAUAAGUUGUUGCUGUAAGGCCAUAAGUUUAGGGUUAUUUUUUAUGAAACAAUAAGAUAACUUGAGCACCAACCGUCAUUUGUUUGUUUGCAGCAGAAAAUAAGCACAAAUCAAUAAUCAUAACUAUUAAUAACAGUAGCAGUAAUAAGGCCAUUUAUUUUUGUUUUGCUAAAUGUUUUGUCAGCAAAUUUUAUUGAAAUAAGGUCAUCCAAUUUUUCGGGAACAAAG
Molecule: long non-coding RNA, 568 nt
Filed under: Felis catus (domestic cat)
Lineage: Eukaryota; Metazoa; Chordata; Mammalia; Carnivora; Felidae
Description: lncRNA (ENSFCAG00000052917.1)
Source: RNAcentral